RNAcentral lists this ribosomal RNA (484 nucleotides) under uncultured bacterium. RNAcentral describes it as "partial 16S ribosomal RNA". It matches the Rfam family "Bacterial small subunit ribosomal RNA", at positions 30 to 507 of the family's 1533-position model. The record is from RNAcentral.
AUUGAACGCUAGCGGGAUGCUUUACACAUGCAAGUCGAACGGCAGCGCGGACUUCGGUCUAGCGGCGAGUGGCGAACGGGUGAGUAAUGUAUCGGAACGUGCCCAGUAGCGGGGGAUAACUACGCGAAAGCGUAGCUAAUACCGCAUACGCCCUACGGGGGAAAGCAGGGGAUCGUAAGACCUUGCACUAUUGGAGCGGCCGAUAUCGGAUUAGCUAGUUGAUGAGGUAACGGCUCACCAAGGCGACGAUCCGUAGCUGGUUUGAGAGGACGACCAGCCACACUGGGACUGAGACACGGCCCAGACUCCUACGGGAGGCAGCAGUGGGGAAUUUUGGACAAUGGGGGCAACCCUGAUCCAGCCAUCCCGCGUGUGCGAUGAAGGCCUUCGGGUUGUAAAGCACUUUUGGCAGGAAAGAAACGUCGCGGGCUAAUACCCCGUGGAACUGACGGUACCUGCAGAAUAAGCACCGGCUAACUACGUG